AGGGGUAUAGUUAAGUGGUAUAACAAAGGUCUCCAAAACCUUAAUCGUGGGUUCGAUACCCUCUACCCCUGCCA
RNAcentral lists this transfer RNA (74 nucleotides) under Candidatus Altimarinota bacterium. RNAcentral's name for it is "tRNA-Trp". It matches the Rfam family "tRNA". Rfam says of the family: Transfer RNA (tRNA) molecules are approximately 80 nucleotides in length. Their secondary structure includes four short double-helical elements and three loops (D, anti-codon, and T loops). Further hydrogen bonds mediate the characteristic L-shaped molecular structure. tRNAs have two regions of fundamental functional importance: the anti-codon, which is responsible for specific mRNA codon recognition, and the 3' end, to which the tRNAs corresponding amino acid is attached (by aminoacyl-tRNA synthetases). tRNAs cope with the degeneracy of the genetic code in two manners: having more than one tRNA (with a specific anti-codon) for a particular amino acid; and 'wobble' base-pairing, i.e. permitting non-standard base-pairing at the 3rd anti-codon position. Lineage: Bacteria; Candidatus Altimarinota. The record is from RNAcentral.